GUGGGGAAUAUUGGACAAUGGGGGGAACCCUGAUCCAGCCAUGCCGCAUGUGUGAAGAAGGCCUUUUGGUUGUAAAGCACUUUAAGCGAGGAGGAGGCUACCGAGAUUAAUACUCUUGGAUAGUGGACGUUACUCGCAGAAUAAGCACCGGCUAACUCUGUGCCAGCAGCCGCGGUAAUACAGAGGGUGCAAGCGUUAAUCGGAUUUACUGGGCGUAAAGCGCGCGUAGGUGGCCAAUUAAGUCAAAUGUGAAAUCCCCGAGCUUAACUUGGGAAUUGCAUUCGAUACUGGUUGGCUAGAGUAUGGGAGAGGAUGGUAGAAUUCCAGGUGUAGCGGUGAAAUGCGUAGAGAUCUGGAGGAAUACCGAUGGCGAAGGCAGCCAUCUGGCCUAAUACUGACACUGAGGUGCGAAAGCAUGGGGAGCAAACAGGAUUAGAAACCCGAGUAGUCC
This 451-nucleotide ribosomal RNA is filed under the name uncultured bacterium. Its description in RNAcentral is "partial 16S ribosomal RNA". It matches the Rfam family "Bacterial small subunit ribosomal RNA", at positions 354 to 796 of the family's 1533-position model. The record is from RNAcentral.